GUGCUUUGGAGGAGCAAUGAAAAGCUUCAGCUGUGCUGUAAGAGGCAUUUCUACCUUCCCAGGAGUGCCCAGGCUUGACCCCAUUUAGCUAGUGAGAUCAAUUUAGGUCAUAGAGCGAGGUCAGCCUCUAUAUGCUGUUCUUGGAGACUUUAAAAAUGACUACACGGAGUUGGUUAGCCAUUACGUUUGUCUCAGAUCAUCUCUCACCUCUUUCUGCCAGGGUAAGAUUUCUCUCUGGUAAGCAAUGAAAAUUGUGACUCAGAACCUUCACAAAUGGGAAGUGGAAACUCCUGAUUUCUAAUCAAGAUAAUGUUUGUGCAAACAAAUGGAUAUUUGCAGUGCUUAUCUACAGUCUGAACAGCAGUUCCAGUAUCUGGAUAUACCCAGUAACACCGCACCAUACCAAGAACUUUGUAUGAAGAAACCUGGGGCAAACCUGCACAUGACAUGGAUAAUCUUUUGCUGUUGAAGUCAGUGUAUCUAUUUCAGUUUGCACCAGCUGAGUAUGUGACUCUUCUCAGCUCAUGAGCUGUAACAAAGCUGAAAAGAUGGAUAGAAAUAGCAAGAAAAGAUUUGUCAUGUUUGGGUAGACAUUACGUAGGGAGGUGUGUGUAUAUAUAUGGGGAGAGAGAAUAUAUAAAGACAAGGACUUGGGCAUACUUCCCAUAUGUUUCAAAUCCUUUGAAAAUGUAAAAUCUUAAGGGAUAAAAGUUCACCUAUUUGACAAUGAGCUCUGAUUUUUGUUUUCCUUUUUUCUUUAUUUUCCAAUCACGUUGGUCCAUGAUACGUACUAAAAUAUCUUCCCAUUUCGCUGUUUUGUGGCACCUGGUAUGCUUGAGACUUUCAGCUUACUCAAGGCAAUAACAUUAUCUAUUGCAUAUUUUGUGGUUUUGUUCCAAAAAUAUUGGUGGGGGAAAAAAAUCUGUAGCCAAAAUAGAAUAUUAUAAUGUAAUCAGAUUAUUUUUAACUGCUAUCUAUAUUGUUAAAAGUAAGAUGGACUCCAUAUAAAUAUCAUAUAAAUAAAUAUAAAUAAUAACAACAUAAAACACCUGUCAAGGUACGCUGAGUUAUGUCUAUUUAGUUUCAAAACAGUCAUUAAGGACUUUGAUGCCUAUUUUUUAGAGCCUUUAAAACUUUCUGAAUAUUAUUUCAUUAUUAAUCUGAAUUGUUUAGCUUUUCAGCAGCACAAAGGUGUGUAUAUUAUCCGUUUUAUUUUUGAAUUAGAAAUGCUUUUCCACUUGUAAUUUAUAUGGAAAAGACUAGUUGCAUCAAAGAAAUCAGUUAUGCUGUAAUUAAACUAAUAUUUUCUCCCUUCUUUCUUUUCUAUCUUUAGUACAUCA
Long non-coding RNA from Numida meleagris (helmeted guineafowl), 1340 nucleotides. RefSeq lists it as uncharacterized. The transcript has 3 exons. The record is from RefSeq and is a predicted model, not a curated record. NCBI's taxonomy places the organism in Eukaryota, Metazoa, Chordata, Aves, Galliformes, Numididae.